Molecule: transfer-messenger RNA, 361 nt
Filed under: Paenibacillus vini
Lineage: Bacteria; Bacillati; Bacillota; Bacilli; Caryophanales; Paenibacillaceae
Rfam family: transfer-messenger RNA
About the family: Bacterial tmRNA, also known as 10Sa RNA or SsrA, is named for its dual tRNA and mRNA-like properties.
Source: RNAcentral
GGGGGCGUUUAUGGAUUCGACGGGGGUAGAUCGAGCAUGGGUAGCGGGUAGUGGGGACGCGUCCGCUUCAUCAACGCUAAAGCCUAUUAAACGGCAAACAAAACAACAACUUAGCUUUCGCAGCUUAAUAACCUGUGAGCUAGCUCUACCUCUGCAUCGCCCAUGUGCCGAGACUAGGGCCCAACUUUAGUGGGAUACGCCGAUCGGUCUCCGCCUGGGGUCGACGGAAGAAGAUAAUCAGGCUGACCCGAAGGGAAUCCGGUGACAGGGAGUCUCUAGGGUGACAUCAAAACUGUCACUACACCCGUAGAAGCCUAUGUGGCGUUGCCUUCGGACAGGGGUUCGACUCCCCUCGCCUCCA